GACCAAGGGCCACGGCCACAAGCCGGAGAAGCCGCCCAAGGAGCACAAGCCGACUCCGCCCACCUACACCCCGAGCCCCAAGCCCACGCCGCCGCCGGCUACUCCCAAGCCGACGCCGCCCACCUACACGCCGAGCCCUAAGCCCAAGUCGCCGGUCUACCCUCCCCCGCCGAAAGCCAGUACUCCUCCGACCUACACCCCGAGCCCCAAGCCUCCGGCGACCAAGCCGCCUACCUACCCGACCCCCAAGCCACCAGCUACCAAGCCUCCGACACCUCCUGUGUACACUCCGAGCCCCAAACCACCGGUUACAAAGCCUCCUACACCCAAGCCGACCCCGCCGGUGUACACGCCGAACCCCAAGCCACCGGUUACCAAGCCUCCGACACACACGCCGAGCCCCAAGCCUCCGACAUCCAAGCCGACUCCGCCGGUGUACACACCGAGCCCCAAGCCACCGAAGCCGUCCCCGCCGACGUACACGCCGACCCCGAAGCCACCGGCUACCAAGCCGCCCACCUCAACUCCGACGCACCCUAAGCCGACGCCGCACACGCCUAUCCCCAAGCCCACGCCGCCAACCUACAAGCCGGCACCGAAGCCGACGCCGCCGGCGCCCACCCCGCCGACAUACACGCCGCCGGUGUCGCACACCCCCAGCUCGCCGCCGCCGCCGCCGCCGCCGCCUUACUACUAGACGAAGAAGUGAUGAGGUCUCCCACUCUGCUGUCAGUCUCGGAGCAUUUAGGUACGUGCUACAAGAAUGGAGCAUGCACAUACAUACAUACAUACAUACAUUUUCUAUAUAUGCUUGUGUCAAAUGUAUCAUACUGUACUCACUAACAAUCGGUUCCGUUUUUUUGUGUUGCAGAAGGUGAUCGAUCGAAGAGUUUGUGUCCUAGCCAGCCGGCCAAGAUGAGCUGCUGAUGAUGAUGAGAGGCGAGGAGCGAGUCGUACCCCUCCCUCCUCUGUGGUGUGCUGCCGGCCGAUCCAUGCAUCAUCCCCAGCUGCAGGAGAAAAAAUAAUGCAGAGCUCUGCUGCUCCGUCUGUUUCCUGUCCUCCCGUGUGUUAGUUUUUGUGUGUUCGUCCAUGUGUUAGCAGGUGUAUUUGUGUGGGUAAUGGUAUUGCAACUAUUGGUGUAAAACCAUAAUAAAAUGUGGAAAUAUAUGCAAGGAAAAAGCUUGUUCUAGUUCUUUUUUUUUGGGUAUCUUCUGCAGUCUGUCGCAGGCUCGCUGCACCGUAUGGCCUUGAGUCCUCUCGAUGCUACUGUAGCUCUUUCCAUCGAUGACGUGACUAGAUGUGUGGUCACACUGACACCUCUACAGUAAGGCCUUGUUUAGUUCUUAAAAAUUUUUAAGAUUUUCCGUCAUAUCGAAUCUUUGGUCGCAUGUAUGGAGCAUUAAAUAUAGACAAAAAUAAAAACUAACUGCACAGUUUACC
This 1440-nucleotide long non-coding RNA is filed under the name Sorghum bicolor (sorghum). RNAcentral describes it as "long non-coding RNA (SBIC_LNC011143)". The record is from RNAcentral. Lineage: Eukaryota; Viridiplantae; Streptophyta; Magnoliopsida; Poales; Poaceae.